CCUACGGGUGGCUGCAGUAGGGAAUUUUCGUCAAUGGGCGCAAGCCUGAACGAGCGAUGCCGCGUGAGUGAAGAAGGCCUUCGGGUCGUAAAGCUCUGUUGCCGGGGAAAAAAGGCAUCAUCAGGAAAUGGGUGCUGACUGAUGGUGCCCCCCCAGACAGUCCCGGCUAACUACGUGCCAGCAGCCGCGGUAAUACGUAGGUGGCGAGCGUUAUCCGGAAUGAUUGGGCGUAAAGGGUGCGCAGGCGGUCCUGCAAGUCUGGAGUGAAACGCAUGGGCUCAACCCAUGCAUGGCUUUGGAAACUGGAGGACUGGAGAGCAGGAGAGGGCGGUGGAACUCCAGGUGGAGCGGUAAAAUGCGUAGAUAUAGGGAAGAACACCAGUGGCGAAGGCGGCCGCCUGGACUGUGGCUGACGCUGAGGCACGAAAGCGUGGGGAGCAAAUAGGAUUAGAUACCCCAGUAGUC
Molecule: ribosomal RNA, 465 nt
Filed under: uncultured bacterium
Lineage: Bacteria
Description: partial 16S ribosomal RNA
Rfam family: Bacterial small subunit ribosomal RNA
Source: RNAcentral